GAGAUUGUAGGGCAGCUGAAGUUGGGGACCGGUGAUCUUAAGUGCUUCUGAAACUUUCGUGUCUAAUACAAGUCAUGUGGGAAUCUCCUUAAAAUGCAGAUUCUGAAUCAGCAGAUCUGGGUGGGGCUAAGAUACAGCAUUUCUAACCUGCUGCCAGAUGAGGUCUAUGUUCUUGUCUACAAAACAGCAAGGUCUAGCUUUCAAGGUGCUGGAAGACGCUGCUUUGUUGCUGGGCUAGGUGAAGUUCUCUGAAGUUCAGAGGCUGGAAAGUUGACUGCCUGCUGGGAGGACACGAGCAGGCAGGCCCCGGGGAGAAGAAACGGUAAAGCAGGAACGGGAAGGACAGGUGAAACACUGAGCAGUGAGGGGCCAGAGAAGGGCUCUAGAGCCUGGCAUACCUUACUUUGAGCCAGAAGAGGUGUCCAAUAAUGAUCAUGUCAACCUGCAAACGGAGAAUGGAGUUUCCUGGGACUGGGGACACUUUGCCCAGUGAGCAUGAAGGCACCACGAAGGAAGUGAGAAGUUCUGAAGGGCCACGGAGGAAACGUGUGCGAUAAUUAUGUGUGUGAGGAAACCCCCUGAGGAAGGCCAUGAGAUGGGGUGUACCAUGGACAGUUGAGGACCACCCCUUGUUUAAGUCAACAUGGUAACUUUCUUGGCUUCCCUGGA
Long non-coding RNA from Neofelis nebulosa (Clouded leopard), 669 nucleotides. RefSeq lists it as uncharacterized. The record is from RefSeq and is a predicted model, not a curated record. Lineage: Eukaryota; Metazoa; Chordata; Mammalia; Carnivora; Felidae. The transcript is spliced from 2 exons.